CCUACGGGAGGCAGCAGUGGGGAAUAUUGGACAAUGGGGGGAACCCUGAUCCAGCGACGCCGCGUGAGUGAAGAAGUAUUUCGGUAUGUAAAGCUCUAUCAGCAGGGAAGAAAAUGACGGUACCUGACUAAGAAGCCCCGGCUAACUACGUGCCAGCAGCCGCGGGAAUACGUAGGGGGCAAGCGUUAUUCGGAUUUACUGGGUGUAAAGGGAGCGUAGACGGUGUAGCAAGUCUGAUGUGAAAGGGCGGGGGCCAACCCCGGGCGUGCAUUGGAAACUGUUGAACUGGAGUACAGGAGAGGUAAGCGGAAUGCGCGGUGUAGCGGUGAAAUGCGUAGAUAUUAGGAGGAACACCAGUGGCGAAGGCGGCUUACUGGACUGUAACUGACGUUGAGGCUCGAAAGCGUGGGGAGCGAACAGGAUUAGAUACCCUAGUAGUC
RNAcentral lists this ribosomal RNA (440 nucleotides) under uncultured bacterium. Its description in RNAcentral is "partial 16S ribosomal RNA". It matches the Rfam family "Bacterial small subunit ribosomal RNA", at positions 338 to 795 of the family's 1533-position model. The record is from RNAcentral.